GGGAGUACGGCCGCAAGGCUAAAACUCAAAGGAAUUGACGGGGACCCGCACAAGCGGCGGAGCAUGCGGAUUAAUUCGAUGCAACGCGAAGAACCUUACCAAGGCUUGACAUAUACGAGAACGGGCUAGAAAUAGUCAACUCUUUGGACACUCGUAAACAGGUGGUGCAUGGUUGUCGUCAGCUCGUGUCGUGAGAUGUUGGGUUAAGUCCCGCAACGAGCGCAACCCUCGUUCUAUGUUGCCAGCACGUAAUGGUGGGAACUCAUGGGAUACUGCCGGGGUCAACUCGGAGGAAGGUGGGGAUGACGUCAAAUCAUCAUGCCCCUUAUGUCUUGGGCUUCACGCAUGCUACAAUGGCCGGUACAAAGGGCUGCAAUACCGCGAGGUGGAGCGAAUCCCAAAAAGCCGGUCCCAGUUCGGAUUGAGGUCUGCAACUCGACCUCAUGAAGUCGGAGUCGCUAGUAAUCGCAGAUCAGCAACGCUGCGGUGAAUACGUUCCCGGGUCUUGUACACACCGCCCGUCAAGUCAUGAAAGUCGGUAA
RNAcentral lists this ribosomal RNA (542 nucleotides) under Microbacterium flavum. RNAcentral describes it as "bacterial SSU rRNA". It matches the Rfam family "Bacterial small subunit ribosomal RNA", at positions 876 to 1417 of the family's 1533-position model. The record is from RNAcentral. Lineage: Bacteria; Bacillati; Actinomycetota; Actinomycetes; Micrococcales; Microbacteriaceae.